AUUGAACGCUGGCGGCAGGCCUAACACAUGCAAGUCGAGCGGAUGAAGGGAGCUUGCUCCUGGAUUCAGCGGCGGACGGGUGAGUAAUGCCUAGGAAUCUGCCUGGUAGUGGGGGAUAACGUCCGGAAACGGGCGCUAAUACCGCAUACGUCCUGAGGGAGAAAGUGGGGGAUCUUCGGACCUCACGCUAUCAGAUGGGCCUAGGUCGGAUUAGCUAGUUGGUGGGGUAAAGGCCUACCAAGGCGACGAUCCGUAACUGGCCUGAGAGGAUGAUCAGUCACACUGGAACUGAGACACGGUCCAGACUCCUACGGGAGGCAGCAGUGGGGAAUAUUGGACAAUGGGCGAAAGCCUGAUCCAGCCAUGCCGCGUGUGUGAAGAAGGUCUUCGGAUUGUAAAGCACUUUAAGUUGGGAGGAAGGGCAGUAAGUUAAUACCUUGCUGUUUUGACGUUACCAACAGAAUAAGCACCGGCUAACUUCGUG
Molecule: ribosomal RNA, 484 nt
Filed under: uncultured bacterium
Lineage: Bacteria
Description: partial 16S ribosomal RNA
Rfam family: Bacterial small subunit ribosomal RNA
Source: RNAcentral